This 497-nucleotide ribosomal RNA is filed under the name uncultured bacterium. RNAcentral's name for it is "partial 16S ribosomal RNA". It matches the Rfam family "Bacterial small subunit ribosomal RNA", at positions 28 to 507 of the family's 1533-position model. The record is from RNAcentral.
GACGAACGCUGGCGGCGUGCCUAAUACAUGCAAGUAGAACGCUGAAGAGAGGAGCUUGCUCUUCUUGGAUGAGUUGCGAACGGGUGAGUAACGCGUAGGUAGCCUGCCUUGUAGCGGGGGAUAACUAUUGGAAACGAUAGCUAAUACCGCAUAACAAUGGAUGACACAUGUCAUUUAUUUGAAAGGGGCAAUUGCUCCACUACAAGAUGGACCUGCGUUGUAUUAGCUAGUAGGUGAGGUAAUGGCUCACCUAGGCGACGAUACAUAGCCGACCUGAGAGGGUGAUCGGCCACACUGGGACUGAGACACGGCCCAGACUCCUACGGGAGGCAGCAGUAGGGAAUCUUCGGCAAUGGGGGCAACCCUGACCGAGCAACGCCGCGUGAGUGAAGAAGGUUUUCGGAUCGUAAAGCUCUGUUGUAAGUCAAGAACGGGUGUGAGAGUGGAAAGUUCACACUGUGACGGUAGCUUACCAGAAAGGGACGGCUAACUACGUG